This 543-nucleotide ribosomal RNA is filed under the name uncultured bacterium. RNAcentral describes it as "partial 16S ribosomal RNA". It matches the Rfam family "Bacterial small subunit ribosomal RNA", at positions 355 to 887 of the family's 1533-position model. The record is from RNAcentral.
UGGGGAAUAUUGCACAAUGGGCGCAAGCCUGAUGCAGCCAUGCCGCGUGUGUGAAGAAGGCCUUCGGGUUGUAAAGCACUUUCAGCGAGGAGGAAGGUGGUGAGCUUAAUACGCUCAUCAAUUGACGUUACUCGCAGAAGAAGCACCGGCUAACUCCGUGCCAGCAGCCGCGGUAAUACGGAGGGUGCAAGCGUUAAUCGGAAUUACUGGGCGUAAAGCGCACGCAGGCGGUUUGUUAAGUCAGAUGUGAAAUCCCCGGGCUCAACCUGGGAACUGCAUUUGAAACUGGCAAGCUAGAGUCUCGUAGAGGGGGGUAGAAUUCCAGGUGUAGCGGUGAAAUGCGUAGAGAUCUGGAGGAAUACCGGUGGCGAAGGCGGCCCCCUGGACGAAGACUGACGCUCAGGUGCGAAAGCGUGGGGAGCAAAACAGGAUUAGAUACCCUGGUAGUCCACGCUGUAAACGAUGUCGAUUUUGGAGGUUGUGCCCCUUGAGGCGUGGNUUCCGGAGCUAACGCGUUAAAUCGACCGCCUGGGGAGUACGGCC